ACAGUGGUUAGAUGAGUAUGAAAAUAUCAACAUUGAUGUUUCAGUCCAGAAUGAACCAAGCACCUCUACUUGCAUGGUCUUUCCUAUCCAGCUCAAUCAGAGCAAGCCAGAGGAUACUGACACAAUGAAUCAGCUCACGAAGGUCAUGGUCAACAAAAUGAUGGAUGCCUUAUCAGUUGGCUCAAGUCAUCAAAUGAUCACCAAAGCCAAUGCCAAAUGUUAUUUUGAGUCCAGUACCAGCAUGGCCACCAGAGACAUUGUAGAAGGGAUGUUGGAUUUGGUAAGGGAUAGCACCAGCAGUACUGGAGAGCAGAUCCCCAUCUUCAAGUCCAAGAAAAGCAAGAAAACCAUGUUCAGCAAGAUAUGCUUUAACAUAAAGUGUUCCAAGAAAGUUAGAAAGGACCACUGUCCUCAAAAGUCUAUGGAGUACCAGCCUCAGAACACUUCCCCUACUGUGUACUUUACAGGUAAGCCCUGCUGCUGCUCAUUCAAGACUAAGAUAUUAUUACUUUAGCGUUCAACUAAUUCAUUUGGAAAGACAUUGCACUCUGCUCUGAAUUGUUACCCAUGACAUACUGGAUGGUCUUUCUUUGCAGAGUCGAGGACAAAUUCUCAUGGCUCCUUUGCUCCAGAGGGAAAUGACAUCGCAUAUUUCUUCCCACCUGAAGAGAAGAGUCGCAAACCCUCCCUUUUCACCAGAAUGUAUAGAGCCAUCACUAGAAGCCUCUCCAACCCAAGAUAAUUUUCCUCAUUAAAUGAGAUUGCAUUCAUUUGUUGUCAUAUGUUGACUGUUUUGCUAGCACAGACUGUAAUAUGUUCUGCGAUUCAUCCACAUGCAUUGAGGAGUAUACCACCUCAGUCACAGGCUACAUCAAUAAGUGGAUCGACAACGUCGUGCCCACAGUGACCGUAUGUACAUAUCCCCGACAGAAGCCAUGGAUUACAGGCAACAUCCACACCGCGCUAAAGGCUAGAGCUGCUUCUUUCAAGGAGCGGGACACUAAUCCAGACACUUAUAUGAAAUCCUGCUAUGCCCUCAGACUAACCGUCAAACAGGCAAAGUGGUUGGUUAGGUCAGGGUGUGACUAGGGUGGGCAAUCUAGGUGAUGAUAAGCCAGUGAUAUAGAGACACUAGAAAAGGUUUGUUUUCAGUGGUGCAAAGUACUUAAGUAAAAAUGAUUUAAAUCGUUUUGGGGGUAUCUGUACUUUAACUAUUUAUAUUUUUGACAACUUCAGUACAUUCAUAAAGGACAAAAAUGUACUUUUGACUCCAUCCACUUUCCCUGAUACCCAAAAGUACAUUUUGAAUGCUUUGUAUGACAGGAAAAUGGUCCAAUUCACACACUUAUCAAGAGAACAUCCCCUACCUCUGAUCUGGCAGACUCAAUAAACACAAAUGCUUAGUUUAUAAAUUAUGUCUAAGUGUUGGAGUGUGCCCCUGGCUAUUCUUACAUUCAAAAAAAGCAAUACAAUUGUGUUGUCUGCUUUGCUUAAUUUUUAAAAUUAUUUUUACUUUUGAUACUUGAGAAUAUUUCAAACCAAAUACUUCCCAAGUAGUAUUUUACUGGGCAACUUUCACAUUUACUUGAGUCAUACUGUUUACAACUGACUGAUUGAGGACUUUUUCCACCACUGUUUGUUUUGGACAUUUAUUUUUUAUCAAAUGUAUUUGACAGGGACAAUCUACUGUAUUUCUGUAAAUGUGCCAGAUUUAGCCAGCUGGCUUUGUGAUGUAACAAAGGUAGCUGAUGAUGUAAUGAAAACAGACAGUUAAAUAUGUGUGUGUAGAACUGUUGCACAUUUGCUCUGGAAAUGAGGACCAAACCUACUCGUCAAAAGGAGUGAAUUGCACCUCCAAUUGAAGUCAAUAAUAAGGUAUGGAAUCAUGCCAAUACAGUCAUUAUUUAUAUAGCUCUGUAGCUUGCAGUAUUUUGAAGGAGAUAAGCAAGGGAAAAUGAUGCUUUGGUUAAUAUUUCUCACGUGAAAGGAAACAUGACCAUGCUAACUGAAAAAUGGAUACAUGAAUAUUGGUCAAAUGUACCUACAUCUUCUGAAACUGUGUUGGGCCUACUUGAUAAUUUAAAAAAAAGUCACAUAGACGAUGUCCAUAAAUUAGACAACAAUACUGAACAGUUGUAGCCCGUUGGUGGUGGUAGGCUUCUGGCUGUGAUCUCUGACCACUGUAACAGUGAAUAGUGGCAAUUUACCCGCGGUGUAUAGGCUUGUUUACUAGGCUAACUAGUGCAUUGGGGUGGGCUAUGUGCAGCAUGGGCAUACAGGAAACCACUCUAGCCACUUAACUCACCUUGGCCACGAGCUCUAUAGUUUACAGCUAUUGCAUCACCUACAAAGCAUCAACUGAAUGUUAAAUGUCAGGUAUUUUAAUUGUCUGUAUUGUCUACUUGUUAAAUGUUUGUAAAGUCUUCCUUUGUAAUUGUUUGUAAUGUCUUAUCAAUUGGUGUUGGACCACAGGAAGAUUAGCUAACGUUAUAGCGUUAGCUAAUGGGGACUCUAGUAAAGAUUCACAAGACUGUUCACAGAUUCACAUUGAUCACAGAAUCGGAUUGAUAAUCUUAAUUCGAAGUUUGAGUUUUUUACUGGACAACCAACACUUGACUGAUGGGCUAAUCCAUAGAAAGAAAAUGUGAUCUUGGAUCUUGAACUCCCCUAGCUACAUUUUGACUUAAUGUUCAAUAUUACUAGUCACUCUGUCCUUACGAACAGUAAAUCAUUGGGUCUGACUCUUUUGAUUUAAUGCAAUUUCAUCAUCGAUAGUGAAACAACCACCACAUAAUCGUCAACUCCCCCCUACAAAACAUGAAUUUAUUUGUGGUUUAUCCUCUUUAGCUAUUUGGUAUUAGGUGUGAUCCUGACUUGGAAUGGCCACGAAGUUACACAUUGUUUUAGGAAACAUGAAUUUAUUUGUGGUUUAUCCUCUUUAGCUAUUUGGUAUUAGGUGUGAUCCUGACUUGGAAUGGCCACGAAGUUACACAUUGUUUUAGGUCCAGUUAGUUUGGAAGUUGUGGUAAAUGGGGGAGUGUGAGCGCGUGUCAUGAGAUGCUGCAGGUGUUGAUAUGGGGAUGGAUAGGCUACCACUGCCUUUAAUUACUACGCUCUGCCUGCACCUACCUCAACUGGUACUCUGCUGCCUCGCUGUGGUGAGAGCACUAACACACUGAACAUGAUGGACAAGGAUGCUCCAUAUAGCCAUCCAUCACUGUCCAGGCACAGCCUGGGUGUAUGUAAUACAAUAUGACCAGAUAUGGUUUGAUAUCUCUUCUGAAACUGGGGUGGGGUUAUUGAGUUCAGGGUUGUGUAAUGGUUGCUUCCAUGUCAGUCCUCAAAUAUGAAUUUGCAUAGAAUCGAAUGAAUCACAUCCAAUGAUUUCCCGUUUUGGACAUUGUUUUGAAAAUGAUUCUCCAUAGCUGCCAUACCUUUGAUGUCAUAAACUGUUACAGAAUUCCCCUUCCUUAUUAUAAACUCUGAUUAAAAUCUAAUCAAAUCAAAUCAAAUUUUAUUUGUCACAUACACAUGGUUAGCAGAUGUUAAUGCGAGUGUAGCGAAAUGCUUGUGCUUCUAGUUCCGACAAUGCAGUAAUAACCAACAAGUAAUCUAACUAACAAUUCCAAAACUACUGUCUUAUACACAGUGUAAGGGGAUAAAGAAUAUGUACAUAAAGAUAUAUGAAUGAGUGAUGGUACAGAGCAGCAUAGGCAAGAUACAGUAGAUGGUAUUGAGUACAGUAUAUACAUAUGAGAUGAGUAUGUAAAAAAAGUGGCAUAGUUAAAGUGGCUAGUGAUACAUGUAUUACAUAAGGAUGCAGUAGAUGAUAUAGAGUACAGUAUAUACGUAUACAUAUGAGAUGAAUAAUGUAGGGUAUGUAAACAUUAUAUUAGGUAGCAUUGUUUAAAGUGGCUAGUGAUAUAUUUUACAUCAUUUCCCAUCAAUUCCCAUUAUUAAAGUGGCUGGAGUUGAGUCAGUGUCAGUGUGUUGGCAGCAGCCACUCAAUGUUAGUGGUGGCUGUUUAACAGUCUGAUGGCCUUGAGAUAGAAGCUGUUUUUCAGUCACUCGGUCCCUGCUUUGAUGCACCUGUACUGACCUCGCCUUCUGGAUGAUAGCGGGGUGAACAGGCAGUGGCUCGGGUGGUUGUUGUCCUUGAUGAUCUUUAUGGCCUUCCUGUAACAUCGGGUGGUGUAGCUGUCCUGGAAAAACUACGACUAUAACUAAAACUAUGGAGUUCAUUGGCCUACAACACGUGUGUGUAUUUGCCCUUAAAAUGAUAUUGCUAGAUGGAAGAAAAUAAUAAGAUAGGCCUAAACUGUAAUAAGAUGUACUUGAAAGAUACUAUAAAUAGCAGGAGACAUACCUGGGUUCUAGACUGGUAUUUAGGGCAAGCAUUUUAGGAAUAUACAUAUGGUUAGUGUCAACUUCUACUUACACGUUAAAGCUCAGCCAUGUUGCUACAUGUUUACUCAUUGACUUCAAGUAGAGCAUUGUUUGUGAAUCUGAAUAAAAGCCUAAUAAAAGUGUAUUGCCCCCAGCUUGGGCAGCACUGCUACACUGCUUUUUUGGGCUAAAGGUGUUUGUGACACGUGCAUGUGUUCCAAUGAUGUCAUAAUUGUCUGUAGCUUCUAUGUUGCCUAUCAACUUGGCUGUCCUUCAGAAAGUAGAUAAUACUUGUAUUUUCAAACAAUUAAUAAAAAUAUUAGCAACAAAACAAACUAAAUAGAUUUAAUCCAUUAAUAUGAUAUUGCCAGAUGGAAGAAAAUAACAAGGUAGGCCUAAACUGUAAUAAGAUAUAUCUUAUAGACUGCUUCAGUGCAUUUGGAAAGUAUUCAGACCCCUUGACUUUUAACACAUUUCAUUUUUUACAUUACAGCCUUAUUCUAAAAUGGAUUACAUACAACAUUUUCCUCAUCAAUCUACACACAAUAUCCUAUAAUGACAAAGCAAAAACAGUUUUUUAGACAUU
RNAcentral lists this long non-coding RNA (4972 nucleotides) under Oncorhynchus mykiss (rainbow trout). RNAcentral's name for it is "lncRNA (ENSOMYG00000053263.1)". The record is from RNAcentral. Lineage: Eukaryota; Metazoa; Chordata; Actinopteri; Salmoniformes; Salmonidae.